This 584-nucleotide transfer RNA is filed under the name Monodelphis domestica (gray short-tailed opossum). RNAcentral describes it as "lncRNA (ENSMODG00000040333.1)". Lineage: Eukaryota; Metazoa; Chordata; Mammalia; Didelphimorphia; Didelphidae. The record is from RNAcentral.
AAGAGAAUGAUUGACAGGUCUUGAGACAAAGAAUCUUUCCUGAUAUGGUUGAGUCAGAGUUCCAAGGAGCAGUUUGCAACUGACUCUCUGGAGCUGAAAGGUGUGUAGCUGAGACAUCCUGAUAAUCCAUGCAUCAAGCAACUGGCCUUUGAGGAUCAACUGGCUGUGGGCCUACAAGAAAAAGCAAAGGCUUAAGGGAAAGACUGAAAUUUCCAGAGUGUUCCCUCAUCACACACACCCCUUCACACAAGCCUGGCAGAGUUGGAAAGAAACUAAGAUUUCAAGGUUCAACCUCUAACUUUGUGGUACUUCAGCUUGCGAAUGGUGUCUCAUCGAAUGAGAUCCAGAGAGAAAGUAUAGAUUCCCUGAAGUAUAUGAAGAGUGGGAGAAGAGGAAAGCUGAUUAAUGAUACCUUUAAUCUCUACCUUUAUGAUGCAAAUCAAAAGUGGAGGAUGCGGGCAUCGAUCCCGCUACCUCUCGCAUGCUAAGCGAGCGCUCUACCAUCUGAGCUAAUCCCCCAGACUCUGACAUCAGACUCACACAUUGUGCUAAACAAGAAUCUAGAAACACUUAUAUGGGCAAAU